UUAUAAAUUUAGAUUUAGUAUAUGCAUUCACUGGGAAUCAAUCCUAUGAUUUUGGCAUUGCUAAAUAUAAAUUUGGACUGAGCAUAAUGAUAUUUUACGUCUUCGCAGGUGGAGAUUCACCUUCCUCCUGUAAAAUCAAAAGUGAAUAUAACCAGAUGGUUCCAGUCUGGUGAAAAUUUUAAAUCAGGGCUUUUUCUGUCUGCAGCAGAUCACUAGCUCACUGUGAAGAGACUGUCAGACAGCUGUUUGUACACAAAGCUGCUACUGAAUCACAGUACAGUCAGCUCAACUGAGCAGUGUAUGUUCUUCGAAUCGCCGACAAAUCCUUACAGACACCGAGUUGCACAGUUGACCAAACUACUGGCACAGAAAUAUGUCUGGCUGUAUGGGAGACAAUAGAGCAAUACAUCUGGCCUCUGUGCUGUGCAGCAUUGGAUUCGGAGUCAAGAGACAGCUGUACAAGGGGUCCAUUCCCAUUGUCACUGCUCUGGGCUGGUACUAUGAGCAGUAUGAGAAGGAUUACGAGAAGGCCACACAUCUGUGGGAAGAAGCUGAUGCCAAAUGUCACCCUGAAGCUGCCAUGAAUUUGCGAGUUUUCUAAUCUCAGGGCCUCUAUCCUGGACAACUUGCCGACCAGGAUCAUGUCUUUGAUUUAUUAUCUGAGUGCAGCAGAGAGUGGAUUUGAAGCAGCUCAGUUUAAUGUGGCGUACCUGUGUGAACUCAACUCAGUGAGUCCAUUCUAAACACUUGCUUUAGAUUCAGAUGAACAUGUUCACUCGAUUGGCUUUGACAGAUAUUUUAUAUCUUUAUAUUGCAGGGCUCUUUGGAUUCGGCGCUGGUGACUCAGUGCAUGUUAAGAUAUUAUAACAUGUCGAUACAGACUCAAGAUCCGGCUCCGUACGCUUUGAUCAGAAUGGGAGAUCUGUUCUAUGGUGAACAGGCUUUGGGCAGAAAAGAGGUUUCUGAUGCAGCAGAGAUGUACAAGCAAGCAGCACUCAAGAAAAAA
Long non-coding RNA from Cyprinus carpio (common carp), 1006 nucleotides. RefSeq lists it as uncharacterized. The transcript has 6 exons. NCBI's taxonomy places the organism in Eukaryota, Metazoa, Chordata, Actinopteri, Cypriniformes, Cyprinidae. The record is from RefSeq and is a predicted model, not a curated record.